UGUUUUUUUAGACUGUCACCGGGGGGGAGAGGAUCCCCACCUGAUUUUCAUUCAGGUCUUUUUGCCCAAAGCGGCUAGAGUUUACAGCAAGCUAGCAGCAUUGUAGCUAGCAUAGUUACAGGGGGAGGGCGAAGCAAUGAUGAGAUUACAUAAUAGGAUUAGAGAACACCAACAACCAAGCACCUAAUACUUGUGCCUCUUUCCUGUUGUGCCUGUACGCCCAAGCUUUUGCUUCAGAAGCGCAUGAAUGCAAAGUGGCCGCAAGAGUGGCAUGAUCCUGACGGAAGACGACACCAUUUCUGCGUUUCCACAAUUGCCAGCAGCAGAGGAGGACAAAGGAGUUGAAUUCUGCACCCGGAAGGCGAUCAGGGCGACUGAUGUUUGGCAGGUCCUGGGUGCCCAGAUCAUCAGCGACAGAGAAUCCGAUGGAGCUCCAAAAUUGGCGUGCAAACGGGCAGUGGAAGAUGAUGUGCGAAGGAGUUUCACUGUCUUGGUUACAUAUUUCACAACAGUCAUCAUCCACAAUCCCUUUUUUCUUCAGGUUCCAUUUGCACUGAAUUUUUCCUUGCAUAAGCAGCCAACAGAAGAAUUGUGCCCGCGGGGG
This 604-nucleotide unclassified non-coding RNA is filed under the name Zea mays. RNAcentral describes it as "misc RNA Zm00001eb226910". The record is from RNAcentral. Lineage: Eukaryota; Viridiplantae; Streptophyta; Magnoliopsida; Poales; Poaceae.